This 1647-nucleotide ribosomal RNA is filed under the name Triticum aestivum (bread wheat). RNAcentral describes it as "partial small subunit ribosomal RNA". Lineage: Eukaryota; Viridiplantae; Streptophyta; Magnoliopsida; Poales; Poaceae. The record is from RNAcentral.
AUGGCGCAGCUUUUGUGGCUGGCGCUCGGGGUUCUUCUUCUGGCCAGCUCCGUGGCCGACGCGGCGACUGCCAACUACACCUUCACAGUACAGAGCAUGAAAAUCAACCAGCUGUGCAACAGCACGGACAUCAUCGCGGUGAACGGCCAGCUGCCAGGCCCGACGAUAGACGUGUUCGAGGGCGACGAGGUCGUCGUCGACGUGAUCAACGCGUCGCCGUACAACUUAACCAUCCACUGGCACGGCAUUCUGCAGAAGCUGACGCCGUGGGCGGACGGGCCGAGCAUGGUGACGCAGUGCCCGAUCCAGCCCAACGGCACCUACACGUACCGGUUCAACGUGACGGGGCACGAGGGCACGCUGUGGUGGCACGCGCACUCCUCCUUCCUCCGCGCCACCGUGUACGGGCCCCUCAUCAUCCGCCCCCGCAACGGCACCGCCUACCCCUUCCCGGCGCCGGACCAAGAGGUCCCCGUCGUACUUGGCGAGUGGUGGAGCCAGAAUGUUGUCGACGUCGAGAAGGACGCCGUCAUGGCCGGCCAGCUGCCCAGCCACUCCGACGCCUUCACCAUCAACGGCCUCACAGGCCAGCUCUACCAGUGCGCAAAUGAGACGUUCACGGCGGUGGUGCAGCCGAACACGACGGUGCUGCUCCGGGUGAUCAACGCGGCGCUCAACACGCACCUCUUCUUCAAGGUGGCUGGCCACAACUUCACGGUGGUGGCCGUGGACGCGUGCUACACCGCCAACUACACCACGGACACGCUGGUGCUGGCGCCGGGGAACACCGUGGACGCGCUCGUCUACACGGCCGCCGCGCCGGGGAGCUACUACAUGGCGGUGGAGCCGCACCACACGCUGUCGCCCGCGGCCACCACGGACGCCUCGGACAGCGGCUCCCUCGCCACGGGCAUCCUGCUCUACAACGGCACGUCGGCCACGGCCACGCCCGCCAUGCCGGCCAUGCCCAACAACUCGGACUCGACGGCGGCCAACGACUUCUACUCCGGGCUGCGGGGCGUUCCCGCGGCCGUGCCGUCGCCGGUGGACGUGAACAUGACCAUCCAGCUGGGGCUGGGCCAGCUGCCGUGCGACGCGGCCCAGACCAACUGCUCCGUGAACGCGUUCGCGGCGGCCAUGAACGGCGUGUCGUUCCGGCUGCCGACGCAGAUGUCGCUCCUGGAGGCGCAGUUCGGCAACGCGUCCGGGGUGUACACGGCCGACUUCCCCGACGGCGUGCCGCCCAACGGCACGGCCAUGGUGGAGGGCACCAAGGUGAGGAGCCUGCCGUACAACUCGACGGUGGAGGUCGUGCUGCAGAACCCGAUGGUGUUCCCGUCGGAGAGCCACCCGAUCCACCUCCACGGCUUCAACUUCUUCGUGCUGGCGCAGGGGCUGGGCACCUUCGCCCCCGGCAACGCCAGCGCCUACAACCUGGUCGACCCCGUGGCCCGCAACACCAUCGCCGUGCCCGCCGGGGGCUGGGCCGUCAUCCGCUUCGUCGCCAAUAACCCAGGCAUGUGGUUCUUCCACUGCCACCUGGACGCGCACGUCCCGAUGGGGCUCGGGAUGGUGUUCGCGGUGGAGAACGGGACGACGGCCGACUCCAUGCUGCCGCCGCCGCCGGCGGAUCUGCCCGUGUGCUAG